This is a long non-coding RNA of Anthonomus grandis grandis, 522 nucleotides long. RefSeq lists it as uncharacterized. The record is from RefSeq and is a predicted model, not a curated record. NCBI's taxonomy places the organism in Eukaryota, Metazoa, Arthropoda, Insecta, Coleoptera, Curculionidae. The transcript has 2 exons.
CAUUUGCCUAAAUAAAAAUGUUUUAAAUUUAUUUCCAAUUACUGAAAGGCCAAUUUAGAUGAUUUUGAAAUAUUUUAUUGGUGGGAAUAUUUCGUGAUUAAUAUAAAUUAUCGGAAUAGUGAGGUAUAUGGUAUCAGUUGAUCAAUUAGCAGUAUUAACAUUAUUUUAUUAUCUGUUUUCACAGUAUUUGUCAAAAUGUUCAAACUUCGUAUGUUCGUGUUUGUCAUGCUCGUAGCCAUGGUCGCUGUAAACGUCAUGGAAACUGAAGCCUCACCAUCACCAGACCAUAAGGCCGAAUCUUACCAAAACCAAAACUUAAAGGCAUAUCACCCAACCAAGGUGGAAAUCAAAAUUCAUCAUGAGGAACAUCAUAAACACCAUGGAGAUGGCGGUGAUGAUUGAAACGUUUCUGCUAAUUAAUAAAGGACCUUUGUGCCAUAUUCUUGGGAUGAGCAACUAAAUUUUUUAACCUUUUUGUUAUGAUUUUGUUUGAUAGUUUUAAUAAAGUUUUUGGUUUUGUAU